This 472-nucleotide ribosomal RNA is filed under the name uncultured bacterium. RNAcentral's name for it is "bacterial SSU rRNA". It matches the Rfam family "Bacterial small subunit ribosomal RNA", at positions 8 to 526 of the family's 1533-position model. The record is from RNAcentral.
AGAGUUUGAUCCUGGCUCAGAACGAACGCUGGCGGCAGGCUUAACACAUGCAAGUCGAACGCAUCCUUCGGGGUGAGUGGCAGACGGGUGAGUAACGCGUGGGAACAUGCCCUUCAGUUCGGAAUAACCCAGGGAAACUUGGGCUAAUACCGGAUACGUGCGAGAGCAGAAAGAUUUAUCGCUGAAGGAGUGGCCCGCGUCUGAUUAGCUAGUUGGUGAGGUAAAGGCUCACCAAGGCGACGAUCAGUAGCUGGUCUGAGAGGAUGAUCAGCCACACUGGGACUGAGACACGGCCCAGGCUCCUACGGGAGGCAGCAGUGGGGAAUAUUGGACAAUGGGCGCAAGCCUGAUCCAGCCAUGCCGCGUGAGUGAUGAAGGCCCUAGGGUUGUAAAGCUCUUUCGGCGGGGAAGAUAAUGACGGUACCCGCAGAAGAAGCCCCGGCUAACUUCGUGCCAGCAGCGGCGGUAAUAC